This 497-nucleotide ribosomal RNA is filed under the name uncultured bacterium. Its description in RNAcentral is "partial 16S ribosomal RNA". It matches the Rfam family "Bacterial small subunit ribosomal RNA", at positions 28 to 507 of the family's 1533-position model. The record is from RNAcentral.
GAUGAACGCUGGCGGCGUGCCUAAUACAUGCAAGUCGAGCGAACAGACGAGGAGCUUGCUCCUCUGACGUUAGCGGCGGACGGGUGAGUAACACGUGGAUAACCUACCUCUAAGACUGGGAUAACUUCGGGAAACCGGAGCUAAUACCGGAUAAUAUAUUGAACCGCAUGGUUCAAUAGUGAAAGACGGUUUUGCUGUCACUUAUAGAUGGAUCCGCGCCGCAUUAGCUAGUUGGUAAGGUAACGGCUUACCAAGGCAACGAUGCGUAGCCGACCUGAGAGGGUGAUCGGCCACACUGGAACUGAGACACGGUCCAGACUCCUACGGGAGGCAGCAGGAGGGAAUCUUCCGCAAUGGGCGAAAGAUUGACGGAGCAACGCCGCGUGAGUGAUGAAGGUCUGCGGAUCGUAAAACUCUGUUAUUAGGGAAGAACAAAUGUGUAAGUAACUAUGCACGUCUUGAAGGUACCUAAUCAGAAAGCCACGGCUAACUACGUG